Molecule: long non-coding RNA, 253 nt
Filed under: Elaeis guineensis (African oil palm)
Lineage: Eukaryota; Viridiplantae; Streptophyta; Magnoliopsida; Arecales; Arecaceae
Description: long non-coding RNA (EGUI_LNC043573)
Source: RNAcentral
GUGGUGGGUGCUUGGUAGUGAGAUGGAGCUGUUUAGGUUUGAAGAUAUUAUUUUUGGAGUGGGUAACCAUGGGAUAUGAGUUGAGGGAAGGUUGGACUGGUGGAGAAGGAGUGGGUGGUGAGGGAGUAGGGAAAGUGCUUAAGAAAUUUUGUGGGGAUGGGAUAGAGAUUGAAGUGGUGGCAGGUGCAAAUGAUAAGGAGGAGCAAUUGGAAGGGUGAGAGAUAUUCCUGGAUGGUGGAGGAACAAGAAAGUG